GACGAACGCUGGCGGCGUGCUUAACACAUGCAAGUCGAACGGAAAGGCCUCUUUCGGGGGGUACUCGAGUGGCGAACGGGUGAGUAACACGUGAGUAACCUGCCCUUGACUUUGGGAUAACUUCAGGAAACUGGGGCUAAUACCGGAUAGGAGCUCCUGCUGCACGGUGGGGGUGGGAAAGUUUCGGCGGUUGGGGAUGGGCUCGCGGCUUAUCAGCUUGUUGGUGGGGUAGUGGCUUACCAAGGCUUUGACGGGUAGCCGGCCUGAGAGGGUGACCGGCCACCUUGGGACUUAGAUUCGGCCCCGGCUCCUACGGGAGGCAGCAGUGGGGAAUAUUGCACAAUGGGUGGAAGCCUGAUGCAGCAACGCCGUGUGCGGGAUGAAGGCCUUCGGGUUGUAAACCGCUUUCGCUCAUGACGAAGCUUUGUGUGACGGUAGUGGGUAAAGAAGCACCGGCUAACUACGUG
Molecule: ribosomal RNA, 467 nt
Filed under: uncultured bacterium
Lineage: Bacteria
Description: partial 16S ribosomal RNA
Rfam family: Bacterial small subunit ribosomal RNA
Source: RNAcentral